UACAGAGGGGGCAAGCGUUGUUCGGAAUUACUGGGCGUAAAGGGCGCGUAGGCGGCCUGUUAAGUCGGACGUGAAAUCCCUCGGCUCAACCGGGGAACUGCGUCCGAUACUGGCGGGCUUGAAUUCGGGAGAGGGAUGUGGAAUUCCAGGUGUAGCGGUGAAAUGCGUAGAUAUCGGGAGGAACACCGGUGGCGAAGGCGGUUCUCUGGGCCUUACCUGACACUGAGGAGCGAAAGCGUGGGGAGCGAACAGG
RNAcentral lists this ribosomal RNA (253 nucleotides) under uncultured bacterium. RNAcentral describes it as "partial 16S ribosomal RNA". It matches the Rfam family "Bacterial small subunit ribosomal RNA", at positions 524 to 776 of the family's 1533-position model. The record is from RNAcentral.